GACGUAGGGCGCGAGCGUUGUCCGGAUUUAUUGGGCGUAAAGAGCUCGUAGGCGGCUUGUCGCGUCGAAUGUGAAAACCCACGGCUCAACUGUGGGCUUGCAUUCGAUACGGGCAGGCUAGAGUUCGGUAGGGGAGACUGGAAUUCCUGGUGUAGCGGUGAAAUGCGCAGAUAUCAGGAGGAACACCGGUGGCGAAGGCGGGUCUCUAGUACGGUACUGACGCUGAGACGCGAAAGCGUGGGGAGCGAACAGG
Molecule: ribosomal RNA, 253 nt
Filed under: uncultured bacterium
Lineage: Bacteria
Description: partial 16S ribosomal RNA
Rfam family: Bacterial small subunit ribosomal RNA
Source: RNAcentral